Molecule: ribosomal RNA, 253 nt
Filed under: uncultured bacterium
Lineage: Bacteria
Description: partial 16S ribosomal RNA
Rfam family: Bacterial small subunit ribosomal RNA
Source: RNAcentral
UACAGAGGUCUCAAGCGUUGUUCGGAUUCAUUGGGCGUAAAGCGCGUGUAGGCGGCCCGGUAAGUCCGCUGUGAAAGUCCAGGGCUCAACCCUGGGAUGCCGGUGGAUACUGUCGGGCUCGAGUCCGGAAGAGGCGAGUGGAAUUCCUGGUGUAGCGGUGAAAUGCGCAGAUAUCAGGAGGAACACCGAUGGCGAAGGCAGCUCGCUGGGACGUGACUGACGCUGAGACGCGAAAGCGUGGGGAGCAAACAGG